UUCUGGUCGGCCCAGUUGGUAGAGCGCUCAAUUAGAAAUGAAGAGGUCCCUGGUUCGAUACCAGGACCAGGUG
This 73-nucleotide transfer RNA is filed under the name Ixodes scapularis (black-legged tick). RNAcentral describes it as "tRNA-Ser". It matches the Rfam family "tRNA". Rfam says of the family: Transfer RNA (tRNA) molecules are approximately 80 nucleotides in length. Their secondary structure includes four short double-helical elements and three loops (D, anti-codon, and T loops). Further hydrogen bonds mediate the characteristic L-shaped molecular structure. tRNAs have two regions of fundamental functional importance: the anti-codon, which is responsible for specific mRNA codon recognition, and the 3' end, to which the tRNAs corresponding amino acid is attached (by aminoacyl-tRNA synthetases). tRNAs cope with the degeneracy of the genetic code in two manners: having more than one tRNA (with a specific anti-codon) for a particular amino acid; and 'wobble' base-pairing, i.e. permitting non-standard base-pairing at the 3rd anti-codon position. The record is from RNAcentral. Lineage: Eukaryota; Metazoa; Arthropoda; Arachnida; Ixodida; Ixodidae.